CUGGCUUUCACCCAGGAG
This 18-nucleotide non-coding RNA is filed under the name Arabidopsis thaliana (thale cress). The record is from RNAcentral. Lineage: Eukaryota; Viridiplantae; Streptophyta; Magnoliopsida; Brassicales; Brassicaceae.